RNAcentral lists this ribosomal RNA (253 nucleotides) under uncultured bacterium. RNAcentral describes it as "partial 16S ribosomal RNA". It matches the Rfam family "Bacterial small subunit ribosomal RNA", at positions 524 to 776 of the family's 1533-position model. The record is from RNAcentral.
UACGGGGGGAGCAAGCGUUGUUCGGAUUUACUGGGCGUAAAGGGCGCGUAGGCGGCCUGACAAGUCAGUUGUGAAAUCUCCGGGCUUAACUCGGAACGGUCAAUUGAUACUGUCGCGCUAGAGUGCGGAAGGGGCAAUCAGAAUUCUUGGUGUAGCGGUGAAAUGCGUAGAUAUCGGGAGGAACACCGGUGGCGAAGGCGGUUCUCUGGGCCUUACCUGACGCUGAGGAGCGAAAGCGUGGGGAGCGAACAGG